CAAAAAUGUUUUUCAAGAAAAACGUAAUCACCGAUGUACUUUCUUCUGACACGGGCAGAAUAACAAUCCAUCACGUUAUAUAUAAAACAACACAGCGCUUCCUCUUAGAACCUUACACAUUAUAUAUUAUGGUAGUUUAGAAUAAAAAAAAAAUAAAUAAAAAGCGAAAAUAAAUUGAGGUGAAAAAAAGUUAACUACAUUGAUUACGCGAGAUCUUCAAAAACGAAUGCAAAAUUGCAAU
Non-coding RNA from Cinara cedri, 241 nucleotides. NCBI's taxonomy places the organism in Eukaryota, Metazoa, Arthropoda, Insecta, Hemiptera, Aphididae. The record is from the annotation of a GenBank genome assembly.